This 251-nucleotide ribosomal RNA is filed under the name uncultured bacterium. RNAcentral's name for it is "partial 16S ribosomal RNA". It matches the Rfam family "Bacterial small subunit ribosomal RNA", at positions 60 to 339 of the family's 1533-position model. The record is from RNAcentral.
AGUCGAGCGAAGUCUUCGGACUUAGCGGCGGACGGGUGAGUAACGCGUGGGAACAUACCCUUUGGUACGGAAUAGCCUCAGGAAACUGGGAGUAAUACCGUAUGUGCCCUUCGGGGGAAAGAUUUAUCGGAGAAGGAUUGGCCCGCGUUUGAUUAGAUAGUUGGUGGGGUAAUGGCCUACCAAGUCUACGAUCUAUAGCUGGUUUGAGAGGAUGAUCAGCCACACUGGGACUGAGACACGGCCCAGACUCC